CAGUUAGCCUAGUGGUUAAGGCUUUGGAUCGCCAAUCCGGAGACGGCGGGUUCGCUUCCCGUUCUG
Non-coding RNA from Aedes albopictus (Asian tiger mosquito), 66 nucleotides. The record is from Rfam. NCBI's taxonomy places the organism in Eukaryota, Metazoa, Arthropoda, Insecta, Diptera, Culicidae.